CCGGCGUGCCGGCAACGGCGGUCAUGGUCUGGAGGCUCAUGCCGUGGUCGAUGAGGCGCGCGAGGCCGAAGUCGCCGAGCUUGGCGUUGAAGGAUUCGUCGAGCAUGAUGUUGCUGGGCUUGAUGUCGCCAUGGACGACGCACUGAUCCCAUUCCUGGUGGAGGUACAGCACCGCGGAGGCUAGAACACGCCUGAUCGAUGGUAACAUGGGCACAUACGUACGUACCUGAGCGGCCAGGUCAAGGUCUCCUUGUUGCUGUAGAGGUGGCCGUCGAGGCUGCCGUUGCGCACCAGCUCGUACACCAGCAGCAGCCGGCGGCGGCCAUGGCACCACCCCAUCAGCUGCACCAGGUUCCGGUGCCG
This 363-nucleotide small RNA is filed under the name Oryza sativa Japonica Group (Japanese rice). Its description in RNAcentral is "sRNA Os04g0288550". Lineage: Eukaryota; Viridiplantae; Streptophyta; Magnoliopsida; Poales; Poaceae. The record is from RNAcentral.